Molecule: ribosomal RNA, 497 nt
Filed under: uncultured bacterium
Lineage: Bacteria
Description: partial 16S ribosomal RNA
Rfam family: Bacterial small subunit ribosomal RNA
Source: RNAcentral
GACGAACGCUGGCGGCGUGCCUAAUACAUGCAGGUUGAGCGCUGAAGGUUGGUACUUGUACCAACUGGAUGAGCAGCGAACGGGUGAGUAACGCGUGGGGAAUCUGCCUUUGAGCGGGGGACAACAUUUGGAAACGAAUGCUAAUACCGCAUAAAAACUUUAAACACAAGUUUUAAGUUUGAAAGAUGCAAUUGCAUCACUCAAAGAUGAUCCCGCGUUGUAUUAGCUAGUUGGUGAGGUAAAGGCUCACCAAGGCGAUGAUACAUAGCCGACCUGAGAGGGUGAUCGGCCACAUUGGGACUGAGACACGGCCCAAACUCCUACGGGAGGCAGCAGUAGGGAAUCUUCGGCUAUGGACGAAAGUCUGACCGAGCAACGCCGCGUGAGUGAAGAAGGUUUUCGGAUCGUAAAACUCUGUUGGUAGAGAAGAACGUUGGUGAGAGUGGAAAGCUCAUCAAGUGACGGUAACUACCCAGAAAGGGACGGCUAACUACGUG